GACGAACGUUGGCGGCGUGCUUAAUACAUGCAAGUCAACUGAAGCAGUGGUAGCAAUAUCGCUGUGGAGGUGGCGCCCGGGUGAGUAACACGUAGGUAAUCUGCCUUCAGGUCUGGCAUAACUCCGGGAAACCGGGGCUAAUAGCAGCUGAUGCAGCGGCUCGCCAUAGAGACGGUUGUUAAAGCGAAGGCGCCUGAAUAUGAGCCGGCGGCGGAUUAGCUAGUUGGCGGGGUGACGGCCCAACAAGGCAACGAUCAGUCGCGGGUCUGAGAGGAGGAGCAGACACAGUGGAACUGAGACACGGUCCAGACUCCUGCGGGAGGGAGGAGUAAGGAAUAGUGCUAAAGGGGAGAAAUCGUGAAGGAGAAGCGCCGCGUGAGGGACGAAGGGCUUUGGCGUGUAAACCUCUGUAGUGAGAGAAAAAAAUCCCAAUGUGUGGGACAUGAUGGUAGCUGAAAAGUAAGCCCCGGCUAACUACGUG
Molecule: ribosomal RNA, 481 nt
Filed under: uncultured bacterium
Lineage: Bacteria
Description: partial 16S ribosomal RNA
Rfam family: Bacterial small subunit ribosomal RNA
Source: RNAcentral